CAAUAGCGUAUAUUAAAGUUGUUGCGGUUAAAAAGCUCGUAGUUGGAUUUCUGCCGAGGACGACCGGUCCGCCCUCUGGGUGUGUAUCUGGUUUGGCCUGGGCAUCUUCUUGGAGAACGUAGCUGCACUUGACUGUGUGGUGCGGUGUCCAGGACUUUUACUUUGAGGAAAUUAGAGUGUUUCAAGCAGGCACACGCCUUGAAUACAUUAGCAUGGAAUAAUAAGAUAGGACCUCGGUUCUAUUUUGUUGGUUUCUAGAGCUGAGGUAAUGAUUAAUAGGGAUAGUUGGGGGCAUUCGUAUUUAACUGUCGGAGGUGAAAUUCUUGGAUUUGUUAAAGACGGACUACUGCGAAAGCAUUUGCCAAGGGUGUUUUCAUUGA
Molecule: ribosomal RNA, 380 nt
Filed under: uncultured eukaryote
Lineage: Eukaryota
Description: partial 18S ribosomal RNA
Rfam family: Eukaryotic small subunit ribosomal RNA
Source: RNAcentral